CUGCAACACCAUCAAAUAUGUGGCAAAUCUGGCUUAAAACAGCACCGACUACAUCACCCAGAAUGCCCAGCGCCAGAGGAGCAUGCGUACAGUGACUCUGCCGUCACAGGUUGUUAUGGACGCUGUCACAGAACACAGAACCCAUGCCACCACAUGCCUCGUCCAAAGGAUUUACACACGCACAAACGCAACAUAAUGCGGCACUCCACCAUGGAUCACCGAACCAAACCACCGCUAUCACCACCGCCACCAGAAACCAGCAGAGUGCUCUGAACAAUCAGCACAAUGCAAAUGGCUGAUAAUAAUAGCCUAAUGCUAUAUAGCAUCUGGGUCGCUGAACUACCGCACCCGGCGAGCUACAAGUUACUCCCGGCCAACUAACACCGACACAGUGAGACAGCCGUUACAGAAUUACCCACCAACAACAGACCAAGCAGUGGAGGAAGGAGCAGUGCCAGGAGGAGCAAGGAUCCUGGACCAGGGAGAGAAAGGACUGGACAUCCUGGACGGCAAGGGAUCCUACACUUGGGAAGAGAUCCUGGUCGGAAGGGAUUGCCUCCCAUGGGAACAGGUAGAGGCACUCAGAAGAGUGGAGGCAGCAGGAAAGAAGGACCAACGGCAACGGUAUGAGGGAACACAGCUGGGAAGGAAGCCCGAGAGGCAGCCCCCCAAAAAAUGUUGGGGGGGCACACGGGGAGUGUGGCAGAGUCAGGUUGGAGACCUGAGCCAGCUCCCCGUGCUUACAGGAGGCAACGUAAUACUGGUCAGGCACCGUGUUAUGUAGUAAAGCGCACGGUGUCCCCAGUAUGCGUGGAGAGCCCGGUGCGUUACAUCCCAGCUCCUAACAUCUGCCGGGGGAGAUUGGGCAUCGAGCCUGGACGGGUUGUGCAGGCCGUGCGCUCUAGACCUCCAGUGCGUCUUCAGGACCCGGUCUAUCCUGUGCCUGCGCCCAGAACCAGGCCUCCUGUAUGUCUCCCCAUCCUGGUUGGUCCUGUGCCUGCUCCACGGACCAGGCCUCCAGUGGGUCUCCCCAUCCUGGUCUCUCCUGUGCCGCUUCCACGGACCAGGCCUCCAGUGGGUCUCCCCAUCCUGGUCAGUCCUGUGCCUCCUCCUCGGACCAGGCCUCCAGUGGGUCUCCCCAUCCUGGUCAGUCCUCUGCCUGCUCCACGGACCAGGCCUCCAGUGGGUCUCCCCAUCCUGGUCUCUCCUGUGUCGCCUCCACGGACCAGGCCUCCAGUUGGUCUCCCAAUCCUGCUUAAGCCUGUGCCUCCUCCACGGACCAGGCCUCCAGUGGGUCUCCCCAUCCUGGUCUCUCCUGUGCCACCUCCUCGGACCAGGCCUCCAGUGGGUCUCGCCAGUCCGGAGCAGCCAGAGCUGCCC
RNAcentral lists this long non-coding RNA (1380 nucleotides) under Salmo salar (Atlantic salmon). RNAcentral's name for it is "lncRNA (ENSSSAG00000108095.1)". Lineage: Eukaryota; Metazoa; Chordata; Actinopteri; Salmoniformes; Salmonidae. The record is from RNAcentral.